Long non-coding RNA from Rana temporaria (common frog), 238 nucleotides. RefSeq lists it as uncharacterized. The transcript is spliced from 3 exons. Lineage: Eukaryota; Metazoa; Chordata; Amphibia; Anura; Ranidae. The record is from RefSeq and is a predicted model, not a curated record.
AGUGAUGUCAGGUACAGAUAGGAAGUGAUGUCAGGUACAGACAGGAAGUGUACAUAUAGGAAGUUCCGGGUGAGAGGAGGGUCGGGAUGAAGUAGAAAGGAAACAUUGCUAGAAGUAGCAGCAGAGGAGUCAUUUAUCCAACGUGAGAGUCUUUGGGACACAAGGAUCUCUACAAGGACGUCAUGAUGGAGAAUCAGCCGCCCCUCACAUCACCGGAUGGAUCCAGUAAUGGGAACCC